RNAcentral lists this long non-coding RNA (256 nucleotides) under Ananas comosus (pineapple). RNAcentral's name for it is "long non-coding RNA (ACOM_LNC014179)". The record is from RNAcentral. Lineage: Eukaryota; Viridiplantae; Streptophyta; Magnoliopsida; Poales; Bromeliaceae.
UCACCAAUAAUAAAUCCUAAGCAUUCAAAGGUUAAAAAGUUUAUAAUAAACACAGUUCUUCUAUUAUUUAUAGUAUAUAUAGUAGCUGAAUUCAUAUUUUCUUUAUAUUUUUUCAUUAUUUUUUGAGAGAAAGAUAGUAUGCUAUCCGCUUCGGUUAUUUCAUUAUUGUAGUACUGUAGUUUUGCAUUUCUUCAUAUGAACACUUUAAUUGGUCCCUAAACGUUGUUAUAAAAUAAUCAUUUUAUUACUCUAUAGU